This 74-nucleotide transfer RNA is filed under the name Bigelowiella natans CCMP2755. RNAcentral describes it as "tRNA-Trp for anticodon CCA". It matches the Rfam family "tRNA". From Rfam's summary of the family: Transfer RNA (tRNA) molecules are approximately 80 nucleotides in length. Their secondary structure includes four short double-helical elements and three loops (D, anti-codon, and T loops). The record is from RNAcentral. Lineage: Eukaryota; Cercozoa; Chlorarachniophyceae.
GGUCGGUUAGUUCAGCUCGGUAGAACGUCGGAUUCCAGACCCGAAGGUCACUGGUUCGAGUCCAGUACUGAUCA